This 431-nucleotide ribosomal RNA is filed under the name uncultured bacterium. RNAcentral's name for it is "bacterial SSU rRNA". It matches the Rfam family "Bacterial small subunit ribosomal RNA", at positions 355 to 802 of the family's 1533-position model. The record is from RNAcentral.
UCGGGAAUUUUGGGCAAUGGGCGAAAGCCUGACCCAGCAACGCCGCGUGAAGGAUGAAGUAUUUCGGUAUGUAAACUUCGAAAGAAUAGGAAGAAUAAAUGACGGUACUAUUUAUAAGGUCCGGCUAACUACGUGCCAGCAGCCGCGGUAAUACGUAGGGACCAAGCGUUGUUCGGAUUUACUGGGCGUAAAGGGCGCGUAGGCGGCAAUUCAAGUCAUCUGUGAAAUCUCCGGGCUUAACUCGGAACGGUCAGAUGAUACUACUUUGCUAGAGUGCAGAAGGGGCAAUCGGAAUUCUUGGUGUAGCGGUGAAAUGCGUAGAUAUCAAGAGGAACACCUGAGGUGAAGACGGGUUGCUGGGCUGACACUGACGCUGAGGCGCGAAAGCCAGGGGAGCAAACGGGAUUAGAUACCCCCGUAGUCCCUGACGG